RNAcentral lists this long non-coding RNA (1798 nucleotides) under Sander lucioperca (pikeperch). RNAcentral describes it as "lncRNA (ENSSLUG00000026101.1)". The record is from RNAcentral. Lineage: Eukaryota; Metazoa; Chordata; Actinopteri; Perciformes; Percidae.
AGGAGGGUUAAAGUUUAAUUAGAUUAAUAAUUUUAUACAGAACAGACAUGUUCAAGAUGGAGUCCAUCAGUAGUUUGUUGUUGUAUUUAUGCAGCUGAGAUCAAAUCAUCACAAAAUGUUACCUUUUAUUAUUUCAGUGUUUCUCGGUGGUCAGAUCUUUCUAAAGGAAUCAGGUUCUUUGUGAAUCUGUUCUGUGCAGCAGCAGAGAGAGAACAGCAGACAGGAGAGAAGACACUGGAGCUGUUAUCAUCAGUGUGCAGAGAUCAAACAUUCCCUUUAAAAGACAUGUAUGAUGAUGAAUAUCAGAGCGAUUUCCUGCUGGAUCUGUACUCCCACCUGAAGGACUGUGAGACUAAAACAGGUCUGAGUCUCCUUCCAUCAUUACAGUCAGUUUUCCAGUCAGCUCCUGCAGUCUGGAUCAUAAACCUCUCAGAGAGAAAGAGCUCCAUCCUCCUGGAAGUGCUGAAACUCCAAUCAGAGAAGAAACAAGUGGAGCUGACAGGCUGCUCAGAUGAAGAGAGUGAAGUGAGGAGUUUCCUACAGUGUCUGCCUUAUAUCUCACAGCUCAGUGUUCCUCGGUGGUCAGAUCUUUCUAAAGGAAUCAGGAUCUUUGUGAAUCUGUUCUGUGCAGCAGCAGAGAGAGAACAGCAGACAGGAGAGAAGACACUGGAGCUGUUAUCAUCAGUGUGCAGAUACAAAACAUUCCCUUUAAAAGACAUGUAUGAUGAUGAAUAUCGGAGUAAUUUCCUGCUGGAUCUGUACUCCCACCUGAAGGACUAUGAGACUAAAACAGGUCUGAGUCUCCUUCCAUCAUUACAGUCAGUUUUCCAGUCAGCUGCUGCAGUCUGGAUCAUAAACCUCUCAGAGAGAAAGAGCUCCAUCCUCCUGGAAGUGCUGAAACUCCAAUCAGAGAAGAAACAAGUGGAGCUGACAGGCUGCUCAGAUGAAGAGAGUGAAGUGAGGAGUUUCCUACAGUGUCUGCCUUAUAUCUCACAGCUCGGUGUUUCUCGGUGGUCAGAUCUUUCUAAAGGAAUCAGGUUCUUUGUGAAUCUGUUCUGUGCAGCAGCAGAGAGAGAACAGCAGACAGGAGAGAAGACACUGGAGCUGUUAUCAUCAGUGUGCAGAUACAAAACAUUCCCUUUAAAAUAUGAUAAUGAUGGAUAUCAGAGUUAUUUCCUGCUGGAUCUGUACUCCCACCUGAAGGACUGUGAGACUAAAACAGGUCUGAGUCUCCUUCCAUCAUCACAGUCAGUUUUCCAGUCAGCUCCUGCAGUCUGGAUCAUAAACCUCUCAGAGAGAAAGAGCUCCAUCCUCCUGGAAGUGCUGAAACUCCAAUCAGAGAAGAAACAAGUGGAGCUGAGAGGCUGCUCAGAUGAAGAGAGUGAAGUGAGGAGUUUCCUACAGUGUCUGCCUUAUAUCUCACAGCUCAGUGUUUCUCAGCGGUCAGAUCUUUCUAAAGGAAUCAGGAUCUUUGUGAAUCUGUUCUGUGCAGCAGCAGAGAGAGAACAGCAGACAGGAGAGAAGACACUGGAGCUGUUAUCAUCAGUGUGCAGAUAUGAAACAUUCCCUUUUAAAGAUGAUGAUGAAUAUCAGAGCGAUUUCCUGCUGGAUCUGUACUCCCACCUGAAGGACUAUGAGACUAAAACAGGUCUGAGUCUCCUUCCAUCAUUACAGUCAGUUUUCCAGUCAGCUCCUGCAGUCUGGAUCAUAAACCUCUCAGAGAGAAAGAGCUCCAUCCUCCUGGAAGUGCUGAAACUCCAAUCAGAGAAGAAACAAGUGGAGCUGACAGGCUGCUCAG